This 348-nucleotide ribosomal RNA is filed under the name uncultured bacterium. RNAcentral describes it as "bacterial SSU rRNA". It matches the Rfam family "Bacterial small subunit ribosomal RNA", at positions 28 to 367 of the family's 1533-position model. The record is from RNAcentral.
GAUGAACGCUGGCGGCGUGCCUAAUACAUGCAAGUCGAACGCACAGCGAAAGGUGCUUGCACCUUUCAAGUGAGUGGCGAACGGGUGAGUAACACGUGGAUAACCUACCUCAAGGUUGGGGAUAACAUUUGGAAACAGAUGCUAAUACCGAAUAAAACUUCGUAUCGCAUGAUACAAGGUUAAAAGGCGCUACGGCGUCACCUAGAGAUGGAUCCGCGGUGCAUUAGUUAGUUGGUGGGUAAAGGCUACCAAGACAAUGAUGCAUAGCCGAGUUGAGAGACUGAUCGGCCACAUUGGGACUGAGACACGGCCCAAACUCCUACGGGAGGCUGCAGUAGGGAAUCUUCC